RNAcentral lists this transfer RNA (89 nucleotides) under Pseudomonadota bacterium. RNAcentral describes it as "tRNA-Ser". It matches the Rfam family "tRNA". From Rfam's summary of the family: Transfer RNA (tRNA) molecules are approximately 80 nucleotides in length. Lineage: Bacteria; Pseudomonadati; Pseudomonadota. The record is from RNAcentral. RNAcentral also lists the same sequence under 2 other names.
GGAGAGGUUGCCGAGUGGCUUAAGGCGCCGCUCUCGAAAAGCGGUUCUCCCGAAAGGAGACGUGGGUUCAAAUCCCACCCUCUCCGCCA